This 76-nucleotide transfer RNA is filed under the name Actinobaculum suis. Its description in RNAcentral is "tRNA-Ala(tgc)". It matches the Rfam family "tRNA". From Rfam's summary of the family: Transfer RNA (tRNA) molecules are approximately 80 nucleotides in length. Lineage: Bacteria; Bacillati; Actinomycetota; Actinomycetes; Actinomycetales; Actinomycetaceae. The record is from RNAcentral.
GGGGCUGUGGCGCAGCUGGUAGCGCAUCUGCUUUGCAAGCAGAGGGUCAGGGGUUCGAGUCCCCUCAGCUCCACCA